Molecule: ribosomal RNA, 427 nt
Filed under: uncultured archaeon
Lineage: Archaea
Description: bacterial SSU rRNA
Rfam family: Archaeal small subunit ribosomal RNA
Source: RNAcentral
UACCAGCUCUCCGAGUGGUAGGGAUGAUUAUUGGGCUUAAAGCGUCCGUAGCCGGCUUAGCAAGUUUCCUGUUAAAUUCAGCGACCUAAUCGUUGAGCCGCGGGAAAUACUACUAGGCUAGGAGGCGGGAGAGGUCAACGGUACUUCCGGGGUAGGGGUGAAAUCCUAUAAUCCCGGGAGGACCACCAGCGGCGAAGGCUGUUGGCUAGAACGCGCUCGACGGUGAGGGACGAAAGCUGGGGGAGCGAACCGGAUUAGAUACCCGGGUAGUCCCAGCUGUAAACGAUGCGAGCUAGGUGUUGGGAUGGCUACGUGCCAUUUCAGUGCCGCAGGGAAGCCAUUAAGCCCGCCGCCUGGGGAGUACGGCCGCAAGGCUGAAACUUAAGGAAUUGGCGGGGAGCACCACAAGGCGUGAAGCUUGCGGUUC